UGAGGAGCGCCUCUUCCCGGCCGCCAUCCCAUCUAGGAAGUGAGGAGCGUCUCUGCCCGGCCGCCCAACGUCUGAGAUGUGGGGAGCGCCUCCGCCCCGCCGCCCCGUCUGGGAGGCCCGCAUGGAGUGGCACAAAGUUCCCAGGCAGAACCAGGCUCAGGAACAGCUGAAGUCCUGGUCUGGCCUUCCUGUGGUUUUCCUAACUCACCAAGUUACAGGUCAGUUAGAGCAGCAGCGCUUCUGACCUCGGUGAGGAGUUGGAAGGAUCUGGACGGGAAGUCAGAGCCUGGGUAACAGUCCUGGCUCUGCCACCCACUAGAUGUGUAACCCCAAGUCAGCUGAUUCCUCUCCAGGUGCCUCGGCUUCCGCAUCUGUCGUAUGACCCGUGAUCUCUGGGAAGCCACACAGCUCAAGGUCUUGGGGAGAUGGGGUCUCACCGUGUUGCCCAAGCUGGUCUGGAACUCCUGGGCUCUAGCGAUCUGCCCGUCUUUGCCACCCAAAGUGCUGGGAUUACAGGCGUGAGCCACCACACCCGGCUCAUCUUCUGUUCUGCUGUGAUGUGAAGUGCUGAGAAGUUCAGCACGUCAUGGAGGCUCCGGAAGCGUCACUUACCCUGUCCCUGUCGGCAUCAUCAUCGUCAGCAUCGUUUAAGAAUCAAGCCCUGUUUUCUUCUUCUGACCACUGGGUGGCUCCGCAGAAUUGGUUCUGUGAUUAUCGCGCUCUCAAAGGCGGCCUUGGGGUUUGGGUGAACAGUAUGAUAAUGCUGGUUUGUCGUAGGUCAAAAACAGCAAAUUAUCUGCAAUGUCAUGUGGUUCUACCUAAUGCUUGCGGUGUCCCUGCCCUGGGCUGUUUCCCUUCGGCUUCAUCUCAGCGAAUCACGAACACAUUCCACGGACUCACCUCCUUGGAAGCCUUUUGGAUUCUCUGCGCAGCCCAAGCUGCCCGGGAUCUGGGAGGCCAGGCUGAGUCUAUGGCCCCGGAGCCCGCCCGGACUUGCCACUGGAGACCUGGGGCCAAGGGCCCAUCCGAGCUGGGAAGAGAG
Long non-coding RNA from Homo sapiens (human), 1042 nucleotides. Lineage: Eukaryota; Metazoa; Chordata; Mammalia; Primates; Hominidae. The record is from Ensembl.